This 269-nucleotide signal recognition particle RNA is filed under the name Candidatus Hydrogenedentota bacterium. Its description in RNAcentral is "signal recognition particle sRNA large type". It matches the Rfam family "Bacterial large signal recognition particle RNA". Rfam says of the family: The signal recognition particle (SRP) is a universally conserved ribonucleoprotein involved in the co-translational targeting of proteins to membranes. Archaeal SRP consists of a 7S RNA and homologues of the eukaryotic SRP19 and SRP54 proteins. Lineage: Bacteria; Pseudomonadati; Candidatus Hydrogenedentota. The record is from RNAcentral.
UCGCGCUAGACGGGAAAUCAGCGGUGUCCUGUAACUCGCAAUCCGCUUUAGCGAGGUUGAAUUCCCACCCGAGGGCGUCUUGUCCUUUGGUCAGGUGCGGGCCACACAGUGUUGACGGUUGGGUCCUACUCAACGGGAUGUCGGCGAACCCGGUCAGGUCCUGACGGAAGCAGCCGUAGUCGAGAGUUCCCGUGUGCUGUAGGAGCGCCUGGCCUGAGUUGGCGUGGUCCGCGGCCGUUCUGGGCCAGCGUUCGGAGGUGGGUGCGCGA